GCAUAUCAAUAAGCGGAGGAAAAGAAAAUAACAAUGAUUCCCCUAGUAACUGCGAGUGAAGAGGGACAAGCUCAAAUUUUAAAUCUAUCGGGUUUUACCUGAUCGAGUUGUAAUUUGAAGAAGCGUUUUCUGCGUAUUUGAUCAGCCUAAGUCCUAUUGAAUGAGGCAUCAUGGAGGGUGAUAAUCCCGUCCGGCUGAUCAUUUGCGUUUUACGAUACGCUUUCUAAGAGUCAAGUUGUUUGGGAUUGCAGCUUAAAAUGGGAGGUAAAUUUCUCCUAAGGCUAAAUAACGGCGAGAGACCGAUAGCGAACAAGUACCGUGAGGGAAAGAUGAAAAGAACUUUGAAAAGAGAGUUAAACAGUACGUGAAAUUGUUGAAAGGGAAACGAUUGAAGCCAGUCGUACCUUCGGGUAAUCAGCCUUUCGGGUGCGAUUCUGUGGAGUGUGAGGAGUUAAACACCUUCAUGUUUUGCAUAUUCGUACUCUUGGGUGUACUUGCCCGUGUGGUAGGUUAACAUCAAUUUUGGUGGUCAUAAAAUGACUGGAGGAAUGUAGCUUCGAUCUCGUAUUGAAGUGUUAUAGCCUUCGGUAGAUGUGAUGAUCGAGAUUGAGGAUUGCAACGGAUACCCUUCGGGGCUACCUGUCUGAUCUCUGAUCGUUGCUCUGGUGUCGAAAGCUUGCUUACGGUUAUCAAAGUCGAUGGUCAAUAGGUUAGAACGGGUUAAAUUCGUUAAGGAUGUUGACGUAAUGGCUUUAAACGAC
This 761-nucleotide ribosomal RNA is filed under the name Rhizophagus intraradices. RNAcentral's name for it is "eukaryotic LSU rRNA". It matches the Rfam family "Eukaryotic large subunit ribosomal RNA", at positions 38 to 648 of the family's 3401-position model. The record is from RNAcentral. Lineage: Eukaryota; Fungi; Glomeromycota; Glomeromycetes; Glomerales; Glomeraceae.